This is a long non-coding RNA of Gopherus flavomarginatus (Mexican gopher tortoise), 613 nucleotides long. RefSeq lists it as uncharacterized. The record is from RefSeq and is a predicted model, not a curated record. The transcript is spliced from 3 exons. NCBI's taxonomy places the organism in Eukaryota, Metazoa, Chordata, Testudines, Testudinidae.
CGCUGACACCCAUCCACUCUGGGCUCUCUAAAUCCCACAUUCCCACAAUGCACCUUGGUAACUCCAUUCUCCUCUAUCCCUAAUCCCCCUAUUCCCUUCCCUUAGGUCCUCCUGGACACCCCAACCCACAGUCAGGCCCCCACAUACAUCCCAGUCACUCAUUCACAUGCUGUGCUAGUUCUUCAGGGACCCCCACAGCCCAGCAAACUUCUCCAUCCAUGAGCCCCAUGGACCUGUGGCCGGGAAGGUGAGGAAGCUCCCACUUUGGCUGAGCUGGGUAGCUGAGGACAGACAGGUCUGAGGAGCAGAGCAGGAGCUCUGGGAAGGAGAAGAGCAAUAUGAAGAUGGAGUGUAAGAUGAGGCCAGGGAAAAGAAGUCUUGGGGACGGAGUCCAGCCCUGAGGUAAGAUGGAAAGUGAUCGAGAGCAGUGACAGCGUGAAUCCUGUUGAUGCCAGGCAAGAGCUGCCCAACUGGGACAAGAGUAACCGUCUCUGUCGGUGAGAUGUGUAUCUGGUUUGGGAAGGGCUCUGGUCACAGCCCUCCUGGCUCCAGGCAGGGACUUCCCGUUAUCUGGGUGUGGGUUUCCGGACUAGCUGUGGCUUCAAGGGAGAUG